RNAcentral lists this ribosomal RNA (253 nucleotides) under uncultured bacterium. RNAcentral describes it as "partial 16S ribosomal RNA". It matches the Rfam family "Bacterial small subunit ribosomal RNA", at positions 524 to 776 of the family's 1533-position model. The record is from RNAcentral.
UACGGGGGGGGCAAGCGUUGUUCGGAAUUACUGGGCGUAAAGGGCUCGUAGGUGGCCAACUAAGUCAGACGUGAAAUCCCUCGGCUUAACCGGGGAACUGCGUCUGAUACUGGAUGGCUUGAGUCCGGGAGAGGGAUGCGGAAUUCCAGGUGUAGCGGUGAAAUGCGUAGAUAUCUGGAGGAACACCGGUGGCGAAGGCGGCAUCCUGGACCGGCACUGACACUGAGGAGCGAAAGCCAGGGGAGCAAACGGG